Molecule: ribosomal RNA, 253 nt
Filed under: uncultured bacterium
Lineage: Bacteria
Description: partial 16S ribosomal RNA
Rfam family: Bacterial small subunit ribosomal RNA
Source: RNAcentral
UACGUAGGGGGCUAGCGUUGUCCGGAAUCAUUGGGCGUAAAGCGCGUGUAGGCGGCCCGGUAAGUCCGCUGUGAAAGUCGGGGGCUCAACCCUCGAAAGCCGGUGGAUACUGUCGGGCUAGAGUACGGAAGAGGCGAGUGGAAUCCCUGGUGUAGCGGUGAAAUGCGCAGAUAUCAGGAAGAACACCAAUGGCGAAGGCAGCUCUCUGGGACGGUACUGACGCUGAGACGCGAAAGCGUGGGGAGCGAACAGG